This 248-nucleotide ribosomal RNA is filed under the name uncultured bacterium. RNAcentral's name for it is "partial 16S ribosomal RNA". It matches the Rfam family "Bacterial small subunit ribosomal RNA", at positions 524 to 771 of the family's 1533-position model. The record is from RNAcentral.
UACGGGGGGGGCAAGCGUUGUUCGGAAUUACUGGGCGUAAAGGGCCAGUAGGCGGCCAACUAAGUCCGACGUGAAAUCCCCAGGCUCAACUUGGAAAUGGCAUCGGAUACUAUUCGGCUCGAGGAAUGGAGGGGAGACUGGAAUACUUGGUGUAGCAGUGAAAUGCGUAGAUAUCAAGUGGAACACCAGUGGCGAAGGCGAGUCUCUGGACAUUUCCUGACGCUGAGGCACGAAAGCCAGGGGAGCAA